This 484-nucleotide ribosomal RNA is filed under the name uncultured bacterium. Its description in RNAcentral is "partial 16S ribosomal RNA". It matches the Rfam family "Bacterial small subunit ribosomal RNA", at positions 30 to 506 of the family's 1533-position model. The record is from RNAcentral.
UUGAACGCUGGCGGCAUGCCUUACACAUGCAAGUCGAACGGCAGCACGGGUGCUUGCACCUGGUGGCGAGUGGCGAACGGGUGAGUAAUACAUCGGAACAUGUCCUGUGGUGGGGGAUAGCCCGGCGAAAGCCGGAUUAAUACCGCAUACGAUCUACGGAUGAAAGCGGGGGACCUUCGGGCCUCGCGCUAUAGGGUUGGCCGAUGGCUGAUUAGCUAGUUGGUGGGGUAAAGGCCUACCAAGGCGACGAUCAGUAGCUGGUCUGAGAGGACGACCAGCCACACUGGGACUGAGACACGGCCCAGACUCCUACGGGAGGCAGCAGUGGGGAAUUUUGGACAAUGGGCGAAAGCCUGAUCCAGCAAUGCCGCGUGUGUGAAGAAGGCCUUCGGGUUGUAAAGCACUUUUGUCCGGAAAGAAAUCCUUGGCCCUAAUACGGUCGGGGGAUGACGGUACCGGAAGAAUAAGCACCGGCUAACUACGU